GUCUGGUCCCGUCGUCGCUGCGUGGAGGGGUUCCUUCUCGCUAACCUCUUCGCCCGGAAGUGGCAACAAUACUGCUACAUCCCCUUACGCCUAGUCUGUAAAGAACUUUGUUUAACCCGGAGGCGGGGCCAGCCAGCUCCGCCCCUCCAGCUGGACGCGGGAGCGAGGUUGAGGUUCGUACCCGUGGGUUCUCUCCAGGCCUGAGGCGGAGAGCCAGCCGCCUGCCUACCUCUGGGCUUUGAACCCCGGGUCUGGUGACUUCGCUGAAAGACCUCGGGCCGAAGGCCCGCCAGGCUCAACCUCGGUUCACAGGACCCCCGACUUGUGUGAGUCGUACACCGCUCUUUACCGUCUCUGGACCUAGGUCAUCUCGGCAGUAAAAUGGGGUGAAAUGACCCGACCUCCCCGGAGGAUGCCGCGCACGAUGUGUGCCUCAAGUUGGCUUCCACUGACCUGAACUGUUAAGAAAGCCCUCCUCAGUGACGCCUUCCCUGAAUCCACAGUGGAGAUUGCCGUUUUCCUGGAACUAAUUCACCCACACUUACCCAUUUCAUCCCUUUCCACCUUUUAUUUCUACCUUUCUGCCCCACUGAUCUCUAGAAUAGGUGCUGGGAGACGUUAGAGUAUUUGAUCUCCCACUCCCCAGUCAUCCCACUUACCGAGCAGUAAUUCUCUGCCUGGCUGCACAUUGGAAUCACUUGGGAAGCCUCUAAAAAUACUGAUGCCAGGGCUCUACCCCAAGCCAGUUAAAAUCUCCAGCGCUGGACCUGGGCAUUGAUACUUUUUGUAAAGCUUUCAGUUUACCAAGAUGAUGCCAGUAUAGCUAGUGAGAUGCAGCACGCCAUCUUCAGCCCCCUCGCCUCUGGAAGAGACACCAGACUGCAAAGGGCACCGCGUACAGAAGCUAACGGAACUUGAAUGACAAGACAAAAAGAGCAGAACCAGUUAGUGUGACACAACAUUCUAACAUGCCUGAUUCUUUUUUUUUUUUUUUUUUUUGAGACGGAGUCUUGCUCUUUCGCCCAGGCUGGAGUGCAGUGGCCCGAUCUCAGCUCACUGCAAGCUCCGCCUCCUGGGUUCACGCCAUUCUCCUGCCGCAGCCUCCCGAGUAGCUGGGACUACAGGCGCCCGCCACCACGCCCGGCUAAUUUUUUCUAUUUUUAGUAGAAACGGGGUUUCACCGUGUUAGCUAGGAUGGUCUCGAUCUCCUGACCUCGUGAUCCGCCCGCCUCGGCCUCCCAAAGUGCUGGGAUUACAGGCGUGAGCCACCGCGCCCGGCCACAUGCCUGAUUCUUACAUCAAAUAUGGUAACUUGGGGGUUGGUGGGGGGAGACAAGGAGAAUCCACUUGGGAACAAUUUGAUGAAGUUUGCAAACCAGCACUUUACCCCCAAAUUAACAACAGCUUGUAUGGAAAAAAAAAUGCUCUUUUAAAAGUAUAUGGUUUGGACAGGUA
Long non-coding RNA from Pan troglodytes (chimpanzee), 1455 nucleotides. RefSeq lists it as uncharacterized. NCBI's taxonomy places the organism in Eukaryota, Metazoa, Chordata, Mammalia, Primates, Hominidae. The record is from RefSeq and is a predicted model, not a curated record. The transcript is spliced from 2 exons.